Molecule: long non-coding RNA, 221 nt
Filed under: Erythranthe guttata (spotted monkey flower)
Lineage: Eukaryota; Viridiplantae; Streptophyta; Magnoliopsida; Lamiales; Phrymaceae
Description: long non-coding RNA (EGUT_LNC001944)
Source: RNAcentral
UUUUUUUUCUUUUUUCAAAAUAUCUUUAAUUGGGUUUUGGGUUUUCUGCUUUAUUUUAUAUUAGGGAUAAUUUUGUCUUUUCAUUCAAUUCAACAAUUAAAUUUGAUAAAUGGGGCACUGUGCAAUAUAAAGUACAACAUAAGGGGGAAUUUGCUAAUUGUUUUAUCACGAGGACUUUUUUGACAAUUAGAAAUAACACAGGGGGUGUGUGCUAUUAGCUC